Molecule: small RNA, 869 nt
Filed under: Malus domestica (apple)
Lineage: Eukaryota; Viridiplantae; Streptophyta; Magnoliopsida; Rosales; Rosaceae
Description: sRNA MD11G0174200
Source: RNAcentral
AUGCUGCGCCGUCCUUGGCGUAAACGCUAGAACCUUCUCUCUUCUGAGCUUCUCUGCUGCUUCAUAGCCCUAGUCCAGCUCUAAUCCUCUGCCAAAAUCUCGAACCCAAAGCAGUGGAACUUCGGUCGACAGACCUGGUGACAAGAGAGACAACCAGAGAAGGCGGUUGAGAUCUUAUACAGCAAGCCAGAGAACAAAACUGAAAAGAUCUUCCAGAUUGAUUGAGUAGACCUACGAGAAUCCCAUUUAAGGCAAACAUCUCAAUUUGUAGGACUACGAUAGAAGCUAUAUACGAGCUUUCGUAGAAGGUUACAGGCGACAACUUCAAGGCAUGCUUCCCCGCAAAGAAAACUUUCUGCUGCUCCAUCGAGUCGUUGCUUAAGUACCAUUCUGAAGGGUGUCAUCAACGGUGAGCCUGUGAUUCUGAACUAAUUUUGAAACAACCAAACCGAAUAGGUAUGCGAAGGGCAAGAGGGACAGUUUCAUAGGAUUAAUUGCAUGGCGAUGGAUGAAAUGAUACUGCACUGCCGAGCAAAUGCAUUGAGCAAUGCCAAGACUUAAUCCAGUAAUUUCGGCGAAUGAACCAAAAAGUUUGUUAUUUGGAGGUGGAUAGUAAAAGCACCAUAGCAUUCCCCUCCUCCUCAGUACAACUCUUUCCUUUUUACCAUUGUGAAUAAGCUCCCAGAUGCAAACAAGUACUGCCACGAUUGCCAACAGCAUACCAAUUAGUGCAUAGUGAGGCUUACCUGGGGAGGAAACCUGAUCAAAAAAAGCAGACAGACUCUCGAUGGCAAAGCUAGUGUAUAACACGAUCUGCUCUGAUGAAGUAGCCUGCAUAAGUUAUACCAACUUCAAUUCAGUUCUUCUUU